This 352-nucleotide long non-coding RNA is filed under the name Capsicum annuum. Its description in RNAcentral is "long non-coding RNA (CANN_LNC002634)". The record is from RNAcentral. Lineage: Eukaryota; Viridiplantae; Streptophyta; Magnoliopsida; Solanales; Solanaceae.
ACCGCUUGGUACACCUUUUGAGGAAGAAAUAGGUGUAGGUGCUCACGAUAUGGAUUAUGUAGAAGCUCAGAAAAAUUACGGUAUAGAAGAAGAAAAUGAAGUAGAUGCGGUUAAUUUAGACGAAGAUAAUGAAAAUAUUGCUGAGACACCCGCAGUAGGAGAUGCUAACGUUAGAUCCGAAUCGGAUAAUCUCCCUUCCCGUCCUCCCAGUGCCCCAAGACCUCGUAAAAGAACUAGUGUUGCAUGGCAAUUUUUUGAACGUAUAUCAGAUAUUGAGGUUCAAUGUAAUAUUUGUCAACAAAUAUAUAAGCAUAGAAGUGGAGGCAAGCAAGGGGGUACGGGUACGUUAAUG